This 487-nucleotide ribosomal RNA is filed under the name uncultured bacterium. RNAcentral describes it as "bacterial SSU rRNA". It matches the Rfam family "Bacterial small subunit ribosomal RNA", at positions 501 to 987 of the family's 1533-position model. The record is from RNAcentral.
CUACGUGCCAGCAGCCGCGGUAAUACGUAGGUGGCAAGCGUUGUCCGGAAUUAUUGGGCGUAAAGCGCGCGCAGGCGGAUUAGUUAGUCUGUCUUAAAAGUUCGGGGCUUAACCCCGUGAUGGGAUGGAAACUGCUGAUCUAGAGUAUCGGAGAGGAAAGUGGAAUUCCUAGUGUAGCGGUGAAAUGCGUAGAUAUUAGGAAGAACACCAGUGGCGAAGGCGACUUUCUGGACGAAAACUGACGCUGAGGCGCGAAAGCCAGGGGAGCGAACGGGAUUAGAUACCCCGGUAGUCCUGGCCGUAAACGAUGGGUACUAGGUGUAGGAGGUAUCGACCCCUUCUGUGCCGGAGUUAACGCAAUAAGUACCCCGCCUGGGGAGUACGACCGCAAGGUUGAAACUCAAAGGAAUUGACGGGGGCCCGCACAAGCGGUGGAGUAUGUGGUUUAAUUCGACGCAACGCGAAGAACCUUACCAGGUCUUGACAU